GAAACCUGAUGGACAUGUGUCAACAGCUGAGCGAAUGGGACGGAUGGGAAUCUAAUUCGAGUUUCAAACUUCAAAUGCGAUUUUCUCUUAAACGCCGUUUUGAAAUCCGUUUGAACCACCAUGUUGUUUGGAAUUAAUGCAAUAAAAUAAGAUCCAAUAUGAGUAUAUUUUUGUUUUGCUAAUAUAUUUUUAAAAUUCAACAUUGGGAUUGUACUAUUUCAACAUUUUGAGCAAUUACUUCAACAUUUUAUACAUGCUGCUUCAACAUUUUCACGCCAAAUGUUGAUCUAGUUUAUCCAAAUUGUUGAACUAAAUUUGACAAAAUGUUGAACAUAGUACAUUAGAAUGUUGACUAUAUUAGUUCGACAGUUUAAACGAUGUUAAAAUGGUAGAAUAGUAUAAUCAGUAUGUUGAAUAGUUUUUUCAAUCUAAAAUGUUGAUUAAACUCUUUAGGAUGUAAUUGACAUCAUCAUACAUCUUUUAGGUAAUUAGCCAAUAGCUAGUAUAAUUAGAAGAAUGAAGAAAGGAAAAAAAAAUUAACAAAAGCCUACCCACUAUGACUGAUUCUC
RNAcentral lists this long non-coding RNA (569 nucleotides) under Setaria viridis. Its description in RNAcentral is "long non-coding RNA (SVIR_LNC004174)". Lineage: Eukaryota; Viridiplantae; Streptophyta; Magnoliopsida; Poales; Poaceae. The record is from RNAcentral.